Molecule: ribosomal RNA, 261 nt
Filed under: uncultured archaeon
Lineage: Archaea
Description: partial 16S ribosomal RNA
Rfam family: Archaeal small subunit ribosomal RNA
Source: RNAcentral
UAGCCGUAAAACGAUACUCGCUAGGUGUCGGCCACGGCGCGACCGUUGUCGGUGCCGUAGGGAAGCCGUGAAGCGAGCCACCUGGGAAGUACGGCCGCAAGGCUGAAACUUAAAGGAAUUGGCGGGGGAGCACCACAACGGGUGGAGCUUGCGGUUUAAUUGGAUUCAACGCCGGAAAUCUUACCGGGACCGACAGCAACAUGAAGGCCAGGCUGAAGACUUUGCCGGAUUAGCUGAGAGGAGGUGCAUGGCGUAGUCGUG